Molecule: transfer RNA, 66 nt
Filed under: Agenioideus sp. SJW-2017
Lineage: Eukaryota; Metazoa; Arthropoda; Insecta; Hymenoptera; Pompilidae
Description: tRNA-Ile
Source: RNAcentral
AAUGAUAUGCCUGAUUUUAAAAGGGUUACUUUGAUAGAGUAAAUUAUAUGUUUUACAUUAUCAUUA